This 541-nucleotide transfer RNA is filed under the name uncultured cyanobacterium. RNAcentral's name for it is "partial 16S-23S intergenic spacer". The stretch from base 207 to 279 matches the Rfam family "tRNA". Lineage: Bacteria; Bacillati; Cyanobacteriota. The record is from RNAcentral.
AGACAACAAAAUGUUUAAUAUUAUUAUUUUGUCACCUUAGGUCGAUCGGUAUCUCACGUUCUUAAUUUAUUAAGAAUUUCAUUUCCUAAGUUUUUCUAGGUCACACCCAUUAUUUUUCCUGGGCCAUUAGCUCAGGUGGUUAGAGCGCACCCCUGAUAAGGGUGAGGUCCCUGGUUCAAGUCCAGGAUGGCCCAUAUCUCUAUGUUGGGGGUAUAGCUCAGUUGGUAGAGCGCCUGCUUUGCAAGCAGGAUGUCAGCGGUUCGAGUCCGCUUACCUCCACUGAUUACCACCUCUUCCAUAAUCUGUAGAAAGGAAAUGUUUUGAGUCGUGAUCAAUUUCUGAACGAAUCUAGCUUCCUAAUGAAACUAUUAAAAUUAAGAUGCUGGUCUCAUAGAAUUAAAUUCAUUGUUUUCAGAGAACCUUGACAACUGCAUAGAUUAAUUUUAAAGACAAUAAGCAUCUCUAAUGAUGCAGAUUUAUUAUUUGUGCGAAUGCAUUAAUAACAAUUCUAUUAAGCUGGUGCUUCAAUUUUGAAGUUAUU